RNAcentral lists this ribosomal RNA (2885 nucleotides) under Vibrio parahaemolyticus. Its description in RNAcentral is "23S ribosomal RNA". It matches the Rfam family "Bacterial large subunit ribosomal RNA". Lineage: Bacteria; Pseudomonadati; Pseudomonadota; Gammaproteobacteria; Vibrionales; Vibrionaceae. The record is from RNAcentral.
GGUUAAGUGACUAAGCGUACACGGUGGAUGCCUUGGCAGUCAGAGGCGAUGAAAGACGUAGUAACUUGCGAUAAGCCCAGAUUAGGUAGUAACAACCAUUUGAGUCUGGGAUUUCUGAAUGGGGAAACCCACUUACAUAAGUAAGUAUCAUUAACUGAAUACAUAGGUUAAUGAGGCGAACCGGGGAACUGAAACAUCUAAGUACCCCGAGGAAAAGAAAUCAACCGAGAUUCCGAAAGUAGCGGCGAGCGAAAUUGGACUAGCCCUUAAGCUUUACACGCGUUAGACGAACGGUCUGGAAAGUCCGACGAUACAGGGUGAUAGUCCCGUAGUUGACGACGUGUGUUCAGUGAAAUCGAGUAGGGCGGGACACGUGAUAUCCUGUCUGAAUAUGGGGGACCAUCCUCCAAGGCUAAAUACUACUGACUGACCGAUAGUGAACCAGUACCGUGAGGGAAAGGCGAAAAGAACCCCUGUGAGGGGAGUGAAAUAGAACCUGAAACCGUGUACGUACAAGCAGUAGGAGCACCUUCGUGGUGUGACUGCGUACCUUUGUAUAAUGGGUCAGCGACUUAUAUUCAGUGGCAAGGUUAACCAUCUAGGGGAGCCGUAGGGAAACCGAGUCUUAACUGGGCGUUCAGUCUCUGGAUAUAGACCCGAAACCAGGUGAUCUAGCCAUGGGCAGGUUGAAGGUUGAGUAACAUCAACUGGAGGACCGAACCGACUAAUGUUGAAAAAUUAGCGGAUGACUUGUGGCUAGGGGUGAAAGGCCAAUCAAACCUGGAGAUAGCUGGUUCUCCCCGAAAGCUAUUUAGGUAGCGCCUCGGACGAAUACUACUGGGGGUAGAGCACUGUUAAGGCUAGGGGGUCAUCCCGACUUACCAACCCUUUGCAAACUCCGAAUACCAGUAAGUACUAUCCGGGAGACACACGGCGGGUGCUAACGUCCGUCGUGGAGAGGGAAACAACCCAGACCGCCAGCUAAGGUCCCAAAUUACUACUAAGUGGGAAACGAUGUGGGAAGGCUCAGACAGCCAGGAUGUUGGCUUAGAAGCAGCCAUCAUUUAAAGAAAGCGUAAUAGCUCACUGGUCGAGUCGGCCUGCGCGGAAGAUGUAACGGGGCUAAGUAGUAAACCGAAGCUGCGGCAAUGUGCUUUUGCACAUUGGGUAGGGGAGCGUUCUGUAAGCGGUUGAAGGUGUGUGGUAACGCAUGCUGGACGUAUCAGAAGUGCGAAUGCUGACAUGAGUAACGAUAAAGGGGUGAAAAACCUCCUCGCCGGAAGACCAAGGGUUCCUGUCCAACGUUAAUCGGGGCAGGGUAAGUCGACCCCUAAGGCGAGGCCGAAAGGCGUAGUCGAUGGGAAACGGGUUAAUAUUCCCGUACUUCUUACAAUUGCGAUGGGGGGACGGAGAAGGCUAGGUGGGCCUGGCGACGGUUGUCCAGGUUCAAGUGCGUAGGCUUAAGAGUUAGGUAAAUCCGGCUCUUUUUAAGGCUGAGACACGACGUCGAGCACCUACGGGUGUGAAGUCAUUGAUGCCAUGCUUCCAGGAAAAGCCUCUAAGCUUCAGAUUGUAAGGAAUCGUACCCCAAACCGACACAGGUGGUCGGGUAGAGAAUACCAAGGCGCUUGAGAGAACUCGGGUGAAGGAACUAGGCAAAAUGGUACCGUAACUUCGGGAGAAGGUACGCUCUUGAUGGUGAAGUCCCUCGCGGAUGGAGCUGACGAGAGUCGCAGAUACCAGGUGGCUGCAACUGUUUAUUAAAAACACAGCACUGUGCAAAAUCGUAAGAUGACGUAUACGGUGUGACGCCUGCCCGGUGCCGGAAGGUUAAUUGAUGGGGUUAGACUUCGGUCGAAGCUCUUGAUCGAAGCCCCGGUAAACGGCGGCCGUAACUAUAACGGUCCUAAGGUAGCGAAAUUCCUUGUCGGGUAAGUUCCGACCUGCACGAAUGGCGUAAUGAUGGCCACGCUGUCUCCACCCGAGACUCAGUGAAAUUGAAAUCGCUGUGAAGAUGCAGUGUACCCGCGGCUAGACGGAAAGACCCCGUGAACCUUUACUACAGCUUGGCACUGAACAUUGACCCUACAUGUGUAGGAUAGGUGGGAGGCUUUGAAGCACGUACGCCAGUAUGUGUGGAGCCGUCCUUGAAAUACCACCCUUGUAGUGUUGAUGUUCUAACGUCGACCCCUAAUCGGGGUUGCGGACAGUGCCUGGUGGGUAGUUUGACUGGGGCGGUCUCCUCCCAAAGAGUAACGGAGGAGCACGAAGGUGGGCUAAUCACGGUUGGACAUCGUGAGGUUAGUGCAAUGGCAUAAGCCCGCUUGACUGCGAGAAUGACAAUUCGAGCAGGUGCGAAAGCAGGUCAUAGUGAUCCGGUGGUUCUGAAUGGAAGGGCCAUCGCUCAACGGAUAAAAGGUACUCCGGGGAUAACAGGCUGAUACCGCCCAAGAGUUCAUAUCGACGGCGGUGUUUGGCACCUCGAUGUCGGCUCAUCACAUCCUGGGGCUGAAGUCGGUCCCAAGGGUAUGGCUGUUCGCCAUUUAAAGUGGUACGCGAGCUGGGUUUAGAACGUCGUGAGACAGUUCGGUCCCUAUCUGCCGUGGGCGUUGGAAGAUUGAAGGGGCUGCUCCUAGUACGAGAGGACCGGAGUGGACGAACCUCUGGUGUUCGGGUUGUGUCGCCAGACGCAUUGCCCGGUAGCUAAGUUCGGAAUCGAUAACCGCUGAAAGCAUCUAAGCGGGAAGCGAGCCCUGAGAUGAGUCUUCCCUGAUACUUUAAGUAUCCUAAAGGGUUGUCGGAGACUACGACGUUGAUAGGUCAGGUGUGUAAGUGCUGUGAGGCAUUGAGCUAACUGAUACUAAUUGCCCGUGAGGCUUAACCAU